GGAGAGAUGGCUGAGUGGUCAAAAGCGCUCGCCUCGAAAGCGAGUGGGCCGGAAACGGCCCCGUGAGUUCGAAUCUCACUCUCUCCGCCA
This 90-nucleotide transfer RNA is filed under the name Bacillota bacterium. Its description in RNAcentral is "tRNA-Ser". It matches the Rfam family "tRNA". Rfam says of the family: Transfer RNA (tRNA) molecules are approximately 80 nucleotides in length. Their secondary structure includes four short double-helical elements and three loops (D, anti-codon, and T loops). Further hydrogen bonds mediate the characteristic L-shaped molecular structure. tRNAs have two regions of fundamental functional importance: the anti-codon, which is responsible for specific mRNA codon recognition, and the 3' end, to which the tRNAs corresponding amino acid is attached (by aminoacyl-tRNA synthetases). tRNAs cope with the degeneracy of the genetic code in two manners: having more than one tRNA (with a specific anti-codon) for a particular amino acid; and 'wobble' base-pairing, i.e. permitting non-standard base-pairing at the 3rd anti-codon position. The record is from RNAcentral. Lineage: Bacteria; Bacillati; Bacillota.